UUUUGUUCGCCCCUGUGUCCACUUGAACCUCGUUGCACGUGGGAGCUAUCAAUUAAGGGCAGUGUGGCACCAUCCAGGUGGAUCAAAGGGAGAGGCUAGGGGGAGGGACACUCACUUAGCAGAGGAGAGCGACGGAGAGGAGACAGCACUUUGGAGCUGGGAGUUUGAUCUGGAUUUUAGAGUAAAGAGUGAGAUAUUGAAAGAGGAUGGAGAGGGCUGGGGCGUCAACCCAAAAGCCCAGAGCGAUCAGGCAAGGACACAAAUGUCCAAUAUGUGGGCUGGAGUACGCAGACUUAAUGCAGCACCUUAAACUAGGUGAACGUGUGGUCAACAGAACAGAACUGGACCUGCUAUCUAAGCUGGCACACAGACAUUUCACGGCGAGCUUGGAUUGCCCGGUACGUAACUGCAACUCCAGGAAGAUGAACAGGCUGGACAAGCACCUUCU
Long non-coding RNA from Perca fluviatilis (European perch), 448 nucleotides. RefSeq lists it as uncharacterized. The record is from RefSeq and is a predicted model, not a curated record. The transcript is spliced from 3 exons. Lineage: Eukaryota; Metazoa; Chordata; Actinopteri; Perciformes; Percidae.